GACGAACGCUGGCGGCGCGCUUAACACAUGCAAGUCGAACGGAAAGGCCUGCUUUCCCUUGUGGAUUGCGGGUACUCGAGUGGCGAACGGGUGAGUAACACGUGAGUGAUCUGCCCCCAACUUGGGUAUAAGCCUGGGAAACUGGGUCUAAUUACCGAUAGGACUGCGGGGUGGUGCCUGUGGUGGAAAACGAUUUUCUAGUGGUUGGGGAUGAGCUCGCGGCCUAUCAGCUUGUUGGUGGGGUAAUGGCCUACCAAGGCGGCGACGGGGAGCCGGCCUGAGAGGGUGGACGGCCACAUUGGGCCUGGGAUCCGGCCCCGACUCCUACGGGAGGCAGCAGUUGGGAAUAUUGCACGAUGGGCGGAAGCCUGAUGCAGCGACGCCGCGUGGGGGAUGACGGCCUUCGGGUUGUAAUCUCCUUUCGACCGCGAGGAAGCCACCUGGUUGGAAGGGUGGUGACGGUAGUGGUAGAAGAAGCACCGGCUAACUACGUG
RNAcentral lists this ribosomal RNA (494 nucleotides) under uncultured bacterium. RNAcentral's name for it is "partial 16S ribosomal RNA". It matches the Rfam family "Bacterial small subunit ribosomal RNA", at positions 28 to 507 of the family's 1533-position model. The record is from RNAcentral.